AGGCGGGCUGUCGCGGGGCGCCGGCCUUGAUCAACGCCCGGCUGUUUCCGCAGCUGCUGUUGAGGCCGCCGCCGAGGCCUCCGGCAGCCGCCAUGUCCGCUAGCGCCGUCUACGUGCUGGACCUGAAGGGCAAGGUGCUCAUCUGCCGGAACUACCGCGGCGAUGUGGACAUGUCGGAGGUGGAGCACUUCAUGCCCAUUCUGAUGGAGAAAGAGGAGGAGGGCAUGCUGUCGCCCAUCCUGGCCCACGGCGGUGUCCGCUUCAUGUGGAUCAAGCACAACAACCUCUACCUGGUUGCUACCUCCAAGAAGAAUGCGUGUGUGUCGCUGGUGUUCUCCUUCCUGUACAAGGUGGUGCAGGUGUUUUCCGAAUACUUCAAGGAGCUGGAGGAGGAGAGCAUCCGCGACAACUUUGUAAUCAUCUAUGAGCUGCUGGACGAGCUCAUGGACUUCGGCUACCCACAGACCACAGAUAGCAAGAUCCUGCAGGAGUACAUCACUCAGGAGGGCCACAAGCUGGAGACGGGGGCCCCGCGGCCCCCAGCCACUGUCACCAAUGCAGUAUCCUGGAGGUCCGAGGGCAUCAAGUACCGGAAAAACGAGGUGUUUUUGGAUGUCAUCGAGUCAGUCAACCUCUUGGGUAAAUACCCAGGAGUGGGAUUGCUGGGUCAUACGGUCAGUGCUAACGGGAACGUGCUGCGCAGUGAGAUUGUGGGCUCUAUCAAGAUGCGGGUCUUCCUGUCAGGCAUGCCUGAGCUGCGCCUGGGCCUCAAUGACAAGGUGCUCUUCGACAACACAGGCCGUGGUAAGAGCAAGUCCGUGGAGCUGGAGGACGUGAAGUUCCACCAGUGCGUGCGGCUCUCACGCUUCGAGAAUGAUCGCACCAUCUCCUUCAUCCCUCCUGAUGGCGAGUUCGAGCUCAUGUCCUACCGCCUUAACACACACGUAAAGCCCUUGAUAUGGAUCGAAUCUGUCAUUGAGAAGCAUUCACACAGCCGAAUUGAGUACAUGAUCAAGGCUAAGAGCCAGUUCAAACGACGUUCAACAGCCAACAAUGUGGAGAUCCACAUCCCAGUGCCUAACGAUGCCGACUCGCCCAAGUUCAAGACCACUGUGGGCAGCGUCAAGUGGGUGCCAGAGAACAGUGAGAUUGUGUGGUCCAUCAAGUCCUUCCCGGGUGGUAAGGAGUACCUGAUGCGUGCGCACUUUGGCCUGCCCAGCGUAGAGGCAGAAGACAAGGAGGGCAAGCCCCCAAUCAGCGUCAAGUUCGAGAUUCCCUACUUCACCACUUCUGGCAUCCAGGGAAGAAGGAUCAGAGGGGGGCUGAACCUGUGGAGGGGUAGGCAGGCCAUGGGGGGCUGCGCAUUUUCAGGGCCCGGCACCUAUGCCCCCAGGUGCGCUACCUGAAGAUCAUCGAGAAGAGCGGUUACCAGGCCCUGCCCUGGGUCCGCUACAUCACCCAGAACGGAGACUACCAGCUCCGUACCCAGUGAGGGGCACACCCACCCCCAGAAGCACCUGCCAAGCAGCUGGAUGGAGGAGGGAGUGUCUGGAUCCGGCACCUCCCCAGUCCCCCGGACCUCCCCGCGGGCCCCACCCUGCCUUCAGCACUCUGGGUGGUGGACAUAGUCUCAUCUGGGACAUCUUGUCUCUCCGCCCAUCCACGUCCGACUGGGGAAGUCACUAAUGGCUUGUUCUGCCGUGGGCUCCCUGGUACCAAAACGAUCAAGACACACGUGCCAGAUGCUGGCCGCAUGCGCCACCUGUCACCACCUGCCACCAGGGCACGUGGCUCUGCUGGGAUCUUGGGGGUGUCGUGCUGUUGCUGUUUCCGUUCACGUUGUUUGUUGGUUUAUGAAUUUCUACUUGUUGGUUGCUGUCUCGCCCACUCCCCCAGGGCCGCACAGGACCACUGUUCCCAUGUCCCCGCUUACCCCAUCGUGACAGGCUCAGACAGCACUUAGUAAGGGCAGGGACAGUCUUCUCCUCCUAAAAACCAGCCCCACCCCUCCCUCGUCUUCCUCACAUGCGGCUGAUGGGUCGGCUUAUUUGCAGGGUUGGACUUCCAUGCGUGUCUGCCAGCCCCAUCUCGUGCUGUGACGGCAGUGCCUUCCAGGGCCAGCCCAUGCAACACCCACACCACAUUCAGCCACAUCAGUGUUUCUCUGACGGGGGGCUCGCCCUGUCUCUUCCCACCAAGGGUACGAGAGAGCCCAGGCCAUCUUGUCUGUGCCUGGUCCCUGCCAACCUGUGUGUUCAGGUCAUGAUUCCAUUAAAUUCCAUUCAUUCGA
This is an RNA transcript of Loxodonta africana (African savanna elephant), 2290 nucleotides long. It is a transcript of the gene named adaptor related protein complex 1 subunit mu 1, with no coding region annotated. The transcript is spliced from 13 exons. The record is from RefSeq and is a predicted model, not a curated record. NCBI's taxonomy places the organism in Eukaryota, Metazoa, Chordata, Mammalia, Proboscidea, Elephantidae.